This 332-nucleotide ribosomal RNA is filed under the name uncultured bacterium. RNAcentral's name for it is "bacterial SSU rRNA". It matches the Rfam family "Bacterial small subunit ribosomal RNA", at positions 568 to 898 of the family's 1533-position model. The record is from RNAcentral.
UGCGUAGGCGGCCGGGUAAGUCACGUGUGAAAGGCCGGGGCUCAACCCCGGAUCGGCAUGUGGGACUGCCUGGCUCGAGCACGGUAGAGGCGAGUGGAAUUCCUGGUGUAGCGGUGGAAUGCGUAGAGAUCAGGAAGAACACCGGUGGCGAAGGCGGCUCGCUGGGCCGUUGCUGACGCUGAGGCACGAAAGCGUGGGGAGCAAACAGGAUUAGAUACCCUGGUAGUCCACGCUGUAAACGAUGGACACUAGGCGUCGGGGGGAGCGACCCUCCCGGUGCCGUCGCUAACGCAAUAAGUGUCCCGCCUGGGGAGUACGGCCGCAAGGCUGAA